GUAGCUGGUCUGAGAGGAUGRCCAGCCACACUGGRACUGAGACACGGUCCAGACUCCUACGGGAGGCAGCAGUGGGGAAUAUUGGACAAUGGGGGAAACCCUGAUCCAGCAAUGCCGCGUGUGUGAAGAAGGCCUGAGGGUUGUAAAGCACUUUCAGUGGGGAGGAGGAUUGGWAGGUUAAGAGCCAUUCAAUUGGACGUUACCCACAGAAGAAGCACCGGCUAACUCCGUGCCAGCAGCCGCGGUAAUACGGAGGGUGCGAGCGUUAAUCGGAAUUACUGGGCGUAAAGGGUGCGUAGGUGGUUUGAUAAGUUAWCUGUGAAAKCCCUGGGCUCAACCUGGGAAGGCCAGMUAAGACUGUUAGACUUGAGUAUGG
RNAcentral lists this ribosomal RNA (376 nucleotides) under uncultured Legionella sp. RNAcentral describes it as "bacterial SSU rRNA". It matches the Rfam family "Bacterial small subunit ribosomal RNA", at positions 283 to 651 of the family's 1533-position model. Lineage: Bacteria; Pseudomonadati; Pseudomonadota; Gammaproteobacteria; Legionellales; Legionellaceae. The record is from RNAcentral.